AUGCCUAACACAUGCAAGUCGAACGGUAGCAUGAUCUGUAGCAAUACAGGUUGAUGGCGAGUGGCGGACGGGUGAGGAAUACAUCGGAAUCUGCCCGGUUGUGGGGGAUAACGUAGGGAAACUUACGCUAAUACCGCAUACGAUCGAGAGAUGAAAGCGGGGGACCGUAAGGCCUCGCGCAGUCGGAUGAGCCGAUGUCGGAUUAGCUAGUUGGUGGGGUAAAGGCCUACCAAGGCGACGAUCCGUAGCUGGUCUGAGAGGAUGAUCAGCCACACUGGGACUGAGACACGGCCCAGACUCCUACGGGAGGCAGCAGUGGGGAAUAUUGGACAAUGGGGGCAAUCUUCCUGAUCCAGCAAUGCCGCGUGUGUGAAGAAGGCCUUCGGGUUGUAAAGCACUUUUAUCCGGAACGAAACGUGUCGGGUUAACAACCCGGCAAACUGACGGUACCGGAGGAAUAAGCACCGGCUAACUUCCGUGCCAGCAGCCGCGGUA
This 495-nucleotide ribosomal RNA is filed under the name uncultured bacterium. RNAcentral describes it as "bacterial SSU rRNA". It matches the Rfam family "Bacterial small subunit ribosomal RNA", at positions 44 to 522 of the family's 1533-position model. The record is from RNAcentral.